RNAcentral lists this ribosomal RNA (292 nucleotides) under uncultured bacterium. Its description in RNAcentral is "partial 16S ribosomal RNA". It matches the Rfam family "Bacterial small subunit ribosomal RNA", at positions 505 to 796 of the family's 1533-position model. The record is from RNAcentral.
GUGUCAGCCGCCGCGGUAAUACGUAGGCAGCAAGCGUUGUUCGGAGUUACUGGGCGUAAAGAGUGUGUAGGCGGUUCUCUAAGUUUGGUGUGAAAUCUCCCGGCUUAACUGGGAGGGUGCGCCGAAAACUGGAGGGCUUGAGUGCGGGAGAGGAGAGCGGAAUUCCUGGUGUAGCGGUGAAAUGCGUAGAUAUCAGGAGGAACACCUGCGGUGUAGACGGCUCUCUGGACCGCCACUGACGCUGAGACACGAAAGCGUGGGUAGCAAACAGGAUUAGAAACCCGUGUAGUCC